Molecule: ribosomal RNA, 301 nt
Filed under: uncultured bacterium
Lineage: Bacteria
Description: partial 16S ribosomal RNA
Rfam family: Bacterial small subunit ribosomal RNA
Source: RNAcentral
CAGCCGCGGGAAUACGUAGGGUGCAAGCGUUAAUCGGAAUUACUGGGCGUAAAGCGUGCGCAGGCGGUUUUGUAAGACAGAGGUGAAAUCCCCGGGCUCAACCUGGGAACUGCCUUUGUGACUGCAAGGCUGGAGUGCGGCAGAGGGGGAUGGAAUUCCGCGUGUAGCAGUGUAAUGCGUAGAUUUGCGGAGGAACACCGAUGGCGAAGGCAAUCCCCUGGGCCUGCACUGUCGCUCAUGCACGAAAGCGUGGGGGGCAAACAGGAUUAGAUACCCCGGUAGUCCCUGUCUCUUAUACACA